UACGUAGGGUCCGAGCGUUGUCCGGAAUUACUGGGCGUAAAGAGCUCGUAGGUGGUUUGUCGCGUUGUUCGUGAAAACUCACAGCUCAACUGUGGGCGUGCGGGCGAUACGGGCAGACUUGAGUACUGCAGGGGAGACUGGAAUUCCUGGUGUAGCGGUGGAAUGCGCAGAUAUCAGGAGGAACACCGGUGGCGAAGGCGGGUCUCUGGGCAGUAACUGACGCUGAGGAGCGAAAGCGUGGGGAGCGAACAGU
Molecule: ribosomal RNA, 253 nt
Filed under: uncultured bacterium
Lineage: Bacteria
Description: partial 16S ribosomal RNA
Rfam family: Bacterial small subunit ribosomal RNA
Source: RNAcentral